This 306-nucleotide unclassified non-coding RNA is filed under the name plant metagenome. RNAcentral's name for it is "partial contains 5.8S ribosomal RNA, internal transcribed spacer 2, and large subunit ribosomal RNA". The stretch from base 1 to 105 matches the Rfam family "5.8S ribosomal RNA", at positions 50 to 154 of the family's 154-position model. The record is from RNAcentral.
GAAAUGCGAUAAGUAAUGUGAAUUGCAGAAUUCAGUGAAUCAUCGAAUCUUUGAACGCACAUUGCGCCCGCCAGUAUUCUGGCGGGCAUGCCUGUCCGAGCGUCAUUUCAACCAUCAAGCCCCCGGGCUUGUGUUGGAGACCUGCGGCUGCCCGCAGGCCCUGAAAACCAGUGGCGGGCUCGCUGUCACACCGAGCGUAGUAGCAAUCACCUCGCUCAGGGCGUGCUGCGGGUUCCGGCCGUUAAACAGCCUUACAAAACCCAAGGUUGACCUCGGAUCAGGUAGGAAGACCCGCUGAACUUAAGC